CCCAUUUCCGCGAUGGCCACUACGGGCAAAGUCACCGACACCCAAGGUCACAGGCUAGUAAAGGGUUGGAUGGAUUAUUUCAGGUGGUGAUUCCAAUGAGAACAUUUAUUUGGUAGUGAAAAGAAUUAUGUAAUAUAGUCCAGCCACGCUUCCGGUGCUCACUCUAGGAAUCAUUAUUUCUCAAGUAAAGUUUGCCUCUUAAAUGGGGCUGGAAUAAGGCUAUGGCUAGGAAGUUCCUGACACCCAAGGGCCAGAAGCGCCCGAAGCUGCCGGGGGACUUGUAACUGAAGAGAGAAGGGAAAGCUGCAGCUGACUGCUCCGGGAACUUGCCGCGGCGUGUUUUGGCUUUGGCUGCUCUUCCCCGCUCCCAGGAGCUGACCGCGGUCUCGUGGAGGGUCGCCUGGGCCGCCCGGACGGCUCAGAAAGGACCGGGACCCGGCGACGCCAAGUGGCAGCGGUCUCCGCCGAGUCACUUCAACAGCGAGACUUUUCAGUAGUUUUUAAAUGCCAGGGUCCACCGCCCAACCGGGACCCCUUGCCAGAGUCGUGAGCUUCGGGAGCCGCGGACGCUCCUGCUCCGUCAGUCGGCCGGGAGCCGGGUUGCCCGGAGUCGGCGGUCCUCGCGGAUGCCGGCAGCCACGGCGCGCCGGGUGGUCGCCGUCGGGACCCGGGCCCUGGAUGAUGCUACUGGGGCAGGAGUGGGAACGAAGGCACGUACACUGAAAAUUAAGUCGUCUGGACCUAGGGUUGUAUGUUUUAACCGUGUUUUAGGUUAAACGUUAGAACGUUUUUUCUCGUAUCCCACUGGAGUGGGCGAACCUGGCUGUCUUAUUUCGAAUUUCAAGGGCAGGAUGGAGGGGUGACAUUUUCUGGUUUUGUUUUUAACGGGGAGGUGGCCACUUCUAAUCCACUGACUGCUUGCUGUUUGUGUGUGUUUGUGUGUAUACAAUAGUGUGUUUUGCUUUGCAGUACAGAUAGCAAAGGCUAAACACCUGGAGUGUGAUCCUAACGUUUUAAUGCCCUUUUUUUUUUAACAUUUAAAAUGUGAUAUGUAACGGGACAAUCGAUUCUGAGGAAAGAAAGGAUUAUUUUUCUGCCGAAGACGCUGUCAUCCUCAAAAUGGAGUCCUAAAGAAUAUCUGAUGGAUAGAAUUUAAAUUCAUAGCACUUUAGAUAUGUUCUAGUCAAAGAAGACAAAAACAUAAAACAAAUAUUUGUCAGAUUGUUAAACGGUUCUAUUUCCCAAGACUAGAAAAAUAUAAGGCCAAAGUAAGCUAUUAAUGAGUAUUUGCCUGUAAGAGGUAUGUAAAAUUUAAGGAAAGAGAUUCAUUUUAUGAAACUGAGGAAUGCAUUCCACGAAUAGUAUACCUCAAAUUUUUUUAAUCCAGUUACAGCAGUCUUUUGUAUUUGCAUGACAUUUUUUUGAGGUAUUUUGUUUGUGUUGAUUUUAACCCUCAUCUUCCCUCUGUACUGCAGAACCGCAUCUUUCUGCAGGCUGCGCCUCAAUCACUAAGUUCCAUGCCCCAUCCCCUGCUUCACCCGCUCGCUGCUCCAGGCGCAUGCAUUACCGGGAUACAGUUUCUGGUGCUGUCUUUUCCUACUGAUGUUCUUUAUAUAUAUAUAUAUAUAUAUAUAUAUAUAUAUAUAUAUAUAUAUAUAUAUAUAUGUAAUAAACUUGGUUACCACUGAUCAGUUUGUAUCUCUUGCAAGAAAAGCCUAUCUUAGGACCCAAGUACCCAGAAAAAAAAUUUUAAUGGGAUUCCACUAAUUGUAACUCCAGUGCAUAGUAUUACAUUUCUCUGUACCAUACUGCAUUUCCUAUAGUGGGCAGCACAGAGCAGGUGGAUCCUGGAAAAGAAACUGCUAGAGAAGUGUGACAGUUUUACAUAGAUAGUCUCUAAUUGGAUAAGAUAUAAAUAAAAUAUAGUUCAUAGUUUCAAGAAUUAAUGGAAAAUAGUCCUAUAAACAUUACUGAUAAUAGUGGAAAUUGUCAAAACUCAGUUCAUAUAGUUUACUGAUCUGAUGAGAUGUUGACAAAGCCCUUUUGGUGUGAAAAAAUGCAAAGUUGUUCUUAAUAGUAACUGCAGAGCCUGAACACCAUUAGAGGUUUCUGUUAUCUUAUAUGACUCUUUGAUCCUUAUCAGUUUUAGUAUUAUUUAAUCAAGAAAUCGUGAUGUUUAAAAUUCCCUCUUGUAAAAAACUAUACCAAAUUUCAAAUCAAGCGUGUCAGGUGUGAUUUCAACAGCUUAAAUAACUGAGAAAGUGAUAUGUUGAUUCAUCAGAGAAAUUGUGGAUUUUAGGUUACUCCCAGGUUUAAUUGGUUGAACAGGGCUAUUGAACUUAAAUUUAUGUUUCAUUAAAGAUGAUCUUGGAAAGGAACCUUUGGUAAGAUGUGAGAAUGCUUUCAGCACUUGCUGCUCUGCUUGUGUCUGCUGCUGUACUUUUUUAUGUGGACUAACAUCUUAUUUGAACAUUUGAUUACAAUAUCAAAUCAUAGAUGUAGACUUUCCUUCAAGUGAUUCUAAAGGAAUACUGGUAACUAAGCUUUUAAAAGGUGAGGUAAUAGUUUAUUAUGCUGCAGAUUAGGGUAAUUGUAGAUAUUCUGAAUCUGCUGUUGACAGAUUACUAAAUAAUGUAUCUGUGUAGGGUCUGGUUCUUUGGGGUAUUUCAUUGUUGCUUCUGUUCAGUAUAUAUUAAAGGUUAUGCUUUGUACAUAAAUUCAGUGCAAUUUGCUUAAAGAAAGUUAUAAUUUUCAACUAAAAAAGACUUCUUAGUAAGACAAUAGCUAGAAGAACAUUAAAUGUUACCCAAUUAUAGUAUUCUUUGGAGAGGCAAUCCCAAAUGUGCUUUUUGAGGAAGUUGGUCUCACUUGGUGUUUAGGUCAAUUAUCUAACCUUGAAUUUUUAAAAUUGUUAUGGGUUUAAGGUCCUACAUUUGUUGUGUUAUUUAUCUCAUCUCUUUUGAUCACUGAAAAAGAAAAGUAAGCCCCAAACUGCUUAUUGUAGUAUCAUUACAGUUUAUAGUAGUUUAGCACUUCACUAAUAGUAUUUAAUAACUUCUGAAAACCAGGAGAGCAUUAAUACUAAACCAAAGAAAUAUUUGUUUAUUUUUGUCAGUGCAGAUUACUAAAUCAUUAGGUAAAUAUUUGUUGAAUGCUUACCUUGGGCAAAAGGUGAGGGAAGAGAAAUUAACUUGGCCCUCAAGGAAACCUCCAGUAGUAAGUUUUUCUUAACUGCGGCCUUUAAACAAUGAUAAUGAAAUAUUCAGACCAUAAGGUUCUUAAUUUAUAAUACAAAAGCAGGAUGUUUAAUAUUAAGUUCAAAAUUCUGUUUAGUAUAGAAAUAGUUGAGUAUAAUUGCGUACAAAGCAGCAUUACAUUAAUGUUAGUAUCAAUGUUAGGAUUAGUAUUACUCAAAAUUGUAUUAAGUGUUUAAAUCACAUUCUUUGAAAAUUCAGAUCCACAAAAAAUAUUCCAAUAGUUUAAUUAUGAGAAGGGCAAGAGAAUUUUCACUGAAUGUGAAAAAUAUAUUACUGAGCAAACAAACAGGAAUUGUUUUAAUGAGUUUUGAUUUUCUGUUUCAAUUUUUUGGUACAUUGACUCUUCUGACAUUGAACUUUGCUAUUAAUUAAAAAAAAUUAAACCCCAAAGACAUUAACUUUGUAUUUAAUGCAAAUUUAAUUCAAUUCUUGACUAGCUGUAAAGCUUAAGAAGUUGGCAGUCUUGUUGGCGAAACAAUAACAUAGGAAUUAAGCCAAAAUGCAAAACUAUGUAAUUAGUUUUCAUUACAGUAGAUACAGUUCUUUCCUUCAUAACUAUAGGAGUCAGAGUAGUAUUAACUUAAUAAUUUAAUUUAUUUAGCUUUUGUUUUUCUCUGAAAACAUACCACAAGCUAUUCAUGUAUAGCAUCAAAAUUGAAAGCCACCAGGGUCAAUGUAAAUUGUUGAGGCAUUUUGCUAUACAUUGAGGGAAAUUCUAACUAAUCAGUGGCAACAGUUUUUUUAAAGUGUCAUGGUUCUUUGACAUAAUUUGUAGUAGGUAGGACUCAAAAGAAUUCUCAUUAUCUUUGUGUGAUAAUGUACAUGAGAAAUACUUAUAAACAGUUCUUCAGGGGUACAGAAUAACUGACACUAUUUUGCAGUUGACUGCAGUACUUCCAGAUCUUUAAAACAAAGACGAAAAUUUUAAGAUUAUUGGACUACAUUUUUAAAAUCAAAUUUCCCUGUCAUUAACAAUACUAACAAUGACAGCAAUUAGUGAUUACUGAUAGCCUAAGUAAAUAGGAAGUUAGGUCCUGUUCUAAUAUCUGUUCCUGUUAACUGCAUUUAAAGACAGAUUUCCUCAGAAUUAAUCAGCAGUUAAAUGAUGGUCCUCCUGUUCCUCUGGAAACAGAAAAGAAGCUUCCCUCUUUAGGGUAUGCAGGAAUUUGCUCUCUUCCCACCAAACUAAAUCCAUCCUUCACACUGUCGUUUGCUUACCUCAUUUAUUUUUUCUGCUGCAUGAAAAGUUGGGGAUCACCAAAACUAGGAGUAGUAACAUCAGCAGUACACUGCCCUGGGUGGGUUCUCACUCACAGCUUCUUACCCUAGGAGAUACUCUCUUCUUACUCUGUUCUCAGUAUCACUUUCUGAAGAGUCUUUUGAAAUAGUAAUAUAUUCACAGUUAGAUAAGAAGAGCGCCCAGGGAGUCCGCCAUCCUUGUGAAACAGAUGUUUUUAUUGCAUUUUUCUAGGGAGAAGUUCUCAGCAGGCAUGGGCAUCUUGAAGGGCCCUGUCAUAUCCAAAAAAGUAAAGUUAUAUUACUAAAGACAAGUAGUAAGUUGAGAGAAUCACCGCAGCUGGGGCUGAUUUUUAUUUUGCAGUUGUUGGCCUCUAGAGAAAGACAUUUUGAAAUUUAAGGCAUAUCAUUUUAGUUCUUGAGAUUGUGAGGAUUAUAGCAAACAAGCCAAAAUCUAUUUCUGAAGAACUGCGAUAGAUUUUAAAGAUCGUUUAAAUGCUUUUAAUCAUUUUUCAAUUUGUCCUUCAUAGAAAAUAUAUGGCUAAGGGAUUAAAUUAAUUCAGAAGAGGUCUCUGCUGUAAUUCUUCCACUUGCUAAUUGAGAAUACCUAUAGAUAUAUAUGGAUUUAUUUCCACUGGAGCAGUGGUAGUAGUAUGUACUCAGUGUGCAAGGGUGACAUUGAUCAGAAUGUUUCCAGUGGUGUCUCCAGGUCACACUGCCAUCUUCCUUUUCACCUUUGUCUUUACCUGCUCUGUUGCUCUUUGCUGCAUUUUCUCCUAGAACUGUACCUAGGAGUUGGUCCAGACCUUGCUUUUAUAGACAUCUUUCACCAGCGUACUUUAUCCCACAGCAGGUUCUUGUAGCUUGACUUUGGGCCUUGUGUAUGAUCAUAGGAAUUUAACGCUACCAACCUCAGACUGCAGUUGAACAUACUCUUUUUUAAAAAGGCUAAAUAAACUAGUCCUAAGUUAUGCAUACUCUGAAUUGCUCAAUGGAUAUUAUAAUAUGUUAAUUAUUUCUUUGCCUUUUUUUUUUUUGGUAUGUAGAUCAUUAUAUGCAUACUUGUUCAAAAUCUACAAUUCAUGCGUUGUCUUUGAGAGGAAGAAGGUUUGCACCCCACCCCAUGUUUUACAUAUGUAUAUAUGUUAAGACUGAGCCAAAGAGAAAGGGCAUAUUUGAAAGAAUAUGUGUGCAUUACUUAGACUCCAAUAAUUAGGCUGAUGUUACUUAGACUCCAAUAAUUAGGCUGAUGUAGUUGAUUUAUGUCAUACAUUGAGCUCAGUCUUCAAAGGUAAACAGUACAGUAAGGCUCCUAGCUCACAAAUAAGUGCUUUUUCAACUAACAUUCAUUCUGUCGUGGUAAUAAAAUCCAAAUUCCAGAAUCAUAGUUAGUUGCUAAGCAGAUAUGUAUAAAACCGUAAAUUUAUCUGAAUCAUUUAUUAUUUAAAGAGUAGUGUAUAAAAGUUUAAACAGAAGUCAUUGAUUAGUGAAAGUGACAAAAAUGGAAUUUUGGUAGAAUGAGCUAAUAAAAGGCCUUUCUUAGGGAAUUAUUGGGAAAAGUAAGCUCAAACAUGAGGUCCUAGACUUUUUAGGCUCAGUCGUGUCUGACUCUUUAGGACCCCAUGAACUAUACAGUCCAUAGUCCAUGGAAUUCUCCCAGCCAGAAUACUGGAAUGGGUAGGCUUUCCCUUCUCCAGGGGAUCUUCCUGACCCAGGGCUUGAACCCAGGUCAGAAUCCGCUUGCAAUGUGGGAGACCUGGGUUAGAUCCCUGGGUCAGGAAGAUGCCCUGGAGAAAGGAAAGGCUACCCACUCCAGCGUUCUGGCUGGGAGAAUUUCAUGGACUGUAUAGUUGGACACAACUGAACAACUUUCGCUUUUGGGCAGUAUUUUAUCUUAAAUUAGGGUCUGCAGGAUCUCCCCUUAUCACCUGGACUUUUUUGUCAGUGUGUGCUACUUAUUUAGUAUCCAGGUUAAGACCAUUUGAAAUGAGCCUUUUAAGUCUACAACUUAUAUAACAUCUAUAAAUAUUACUGCUACAUAGAAUAACAUUUUUAGCCUCAGCACAAUACCUUGUGCAAUUUUAUAUCUACUAAAUGCCCAAUGAAAGGCUGUCAACCCACUGUAUACUUAAAAAAGCACAACCUAAAAGUUGAAAAUUAUGUUUUAUUUGGUGGAUUUGCUAAGGAUUUAAACAAUGAGACAGCUUCUUGGAUAGCUCUGAGGGACCAUCUUAAAGAAGUAAGGGAGAAACCAGAGAAUAUUAGGCGUUUUUGUACCAGAAACCAGGUAGUCAGAACAUUAAAAGAUUACUGUUAAAGAAAAAGCAGACAUCUCAAGCUAAUGAAUUUAGCACUUUUCUUUGUAGGGGAAUAUGCAAGGAUCUGGGCUGUUGAUAUGCUCCCUAGGGUAGUAUUUGUUUCUAUACACUCCCCUUUGUGUAUGUGUGUGUUAGGGGGUGGGGGGUGGUGGAGCUGCAGUGGCUAAAGGCUUGAUGGUCACAGCAUCCUUUGUUUACUGAUAACAUUUUUUAUCCACACCUUAUAGAGAGAACCUAGCUCUCAGUCUGGUGCAGCUUGGCAAAUUCUGACAUAGCUUAAAUUGCCAGGAGCGUAGGGGAAUCAUUCCUUGCCAGUGAGAGUACACAUCCUUUCUUUGCUGGCUAAGGUGAAAUCUGAGCCAGGGGAUUCUAUAUGACCUUAGUGCAAUGGCCAUCUCUCAGGAGCAGGGUUAGAGAAUUGGCCUUAUUACCUUACUUUCAUAAUUUUUUUAUCUUUCUGAGACUGUGUAUAACCUCACUUGGGGAUAGUAUUUCUCUAAACCACUGUACUUCACAGACAUUGUGACUACUUUCCCCUGGGAAGUAUUGGAAGCCUCAAAGUCAGGGCAAAUGUGUAUGACUGAGCAUGAGUGAACUUGACAAAUGAAAUCAGUAUCUUUGCAAGUUUUUGUACUCUUUUUCUUAAAGUCACAUAUUAAAGCUGGAGGUUUACCCAGAACCAGAGAUCCAGAUAGCAUUUUUUAUACAGCCUAGGAUAAACUGCUCAUUUCCCAUCAAUAUAGUACAAAAACUAAGGGACAUCAGUUGCUAAUUAUAAGGCAAGUACCUGCAUAUUUUCUCACAAAUUUUGUGAUAAACUAGUGCUAUACUCUGAACAUUAAAGGAGGCUCUUUUUUUUUUAACCUCUAGCUGUCCAAACAUGUUAUUCAAGUAAAAGACACUGGUAAAGGAGUUUCUCCCUUUGUAUUUUGUGGUAAUUUAGGACAAACUCAGCAUUUAAGGAAUGUAUUAUUGUAUUUUUUGAGUUUCCAAAGCCAAGAAUAUAAGAACAAUACCUAGGUACAGGUCCAUUACUUUUAGUAAAGUUAGUUUCACUCAUUCUGGUAAUAGAUGCUCCUCAAUUUAUAAUUGAGGCAAUAAUCUAACCAGAAAGUCCAGAAAGGGUAGUAUAGCAAGUAGCAACCGCAUAGUACUUGCUCAGGGUCAUGCAGUUGUCAUUCUGGUGGAGGUCCUUUGCCAGUCUGAUGAAAGAGAAAUUAGCAGUCCUUGUUUCUCUUAUGUUGAUAGAUAGGUCUCAAGUAGAGAUUUAUUUUCCAAGAGGAAAAGUGAUUAAGUAGGUACCCUACAGAAAGAUUUUUCAGAAUAGAAAAUCUGCCUUAAAAGUUUCAUAGUCUUUGAACCUAGUUCAGAAGUGGCCAAGACCAAACCUCAAAGCAUGAAGGCAAAAGUUAGGGUAUACUAAAAGAGGACAAAGUAUAAUCUAGUUAAGAACCAUCAAAUGAAGUCAGAGGCAAGACCUUCCUAUUGACAGGCAAGUUAAGUGCUAUCUUGGAGCUUCUAGUUGUUUCCUGAUGGAUUCUCUUAGAAUAGGUCUGGAAGAGUUUUGGGACAUAUCUGAAACAUGAGGUUGAGUUUUCCUGAUGAGAAGGCCAGGGUUAGAAGGUCCGCCAGCUGUCAGAUGGACCCAGCACUGCCAGAAGCUAUUUGUAAACUGCCUCCACUAGUCUGGUGAUUCAAGUGGGAAGUAUCCAAGGAACAUUCUUCUGGAACAUUGUGUCUACAAGAAACUAAAAAUUAAUCGUAAAUUAUUUGAUGGGUGAGGUCGUCAUCUUCUGAAACAUAAAGCAUUGUUCCAAGACAGAAUACUUUUGCACCUGACAAGUAGGAAGACUUGAAAAGGCCACCUUAAGUCAGGUUCAGGCUAUGUGUUUCACCAAUGAACCUUAGAUGAGAAUGUAGUGGGAUGAUUACCUGGAAAUUUCAUAGAUUAUGAAUAAUUUGUGAGUUAAAUCCAGUGUGUUUGCUGAAAAUUAGAAAUUGAGGUGUGUGCUGGGCUGCUAGAUGUUACACUGUCACUGCUGUUUCUAGAUGGAGGGACAGAAAAGUCUUUGAGAAACCUGUAGGACCGUAUAGAUUCCACUUACAAUCUAUUUGAAAAAGUGUGUUCCCUGACUAUCAUCAAAAUGCUAUUAGGUUUUAAUGUUAAAGACAUCACCAACAAUCAUGUCAGCUCCUGCAUAUAAGUAUGUUACUAUCCUGCAAAGGUACACAAAAUCAUUUAAAUAUAUUCUUAAGAACAACACAUAUAUAAUAUUAACCUGAAUAUUUGCAGAGGGCGUCCAAGAGGGAUGAGUUUGUUUUAUUUAUUCAAUCAGUUGUUCAUUCAUUCACUCUAUUUUUAAAGUUAGUUUGCUACCUGAUCUUGAAAAAGGUAACAUCCAAAUGAGUUAGCAGAGAAAACAAGUUGGUUAAAAAAGAUAAGCCCAAAGAUGCCUUAAAAUGAGAAAUCGCCACAGCCUUACUUUCAUGAGAAUAACAACAUUUUGUAAUAGGUACAGCUGAAGAGACUAGAAAGACUGCUAGAUAUGUUAACGCCUCCACAAGUGAAUAAACCUUUAUUUGCAGUUGUCUACAAGAACUACCCAAAAACUUGAGCAGAAUGAGGAAGUUAUGGCUUUUAGGAGUGAAGGUACAAUCUCAGGAUAACACUUUCUGCCACUUAGGAAAAAUAUGGAGAAAGCAAAGUUUUUCUAUCUGGUGUUAAAACAGACUGCAUAUCCAGAGACCAAUCUAUUAUUUUUCUCUGAGCUACCAGUCCCCUCUUCAAUAUUAUACAUAGUGUUUUCUUUUAGUCAUAGCACCUGUUACAAAUUUAAACAGGAUGAGAUAGCAGAAACAAUUCCUUUAAGAAAUUGUGCAUAAUCAAAGGUGUGUAUGUGUAUGUGAACAUAUUUGCAAGAAAAGGAAUGUGCCAAUGAUUUUCUUUCUCAGCUUAAAUAAAUUUGCCAAGAAACUCAGAAAUCAGAAUACUAUUUUAAAUAUUAUUAACAGGGCCAUUAAUUCUUCAACAAUCAUCACAAUUACAGAUUUUAAAGUUAUUUUCAAAGGAUACUGAAAUCCAGGUGUCUGGGGUUUGUUGUUCAGUUGCCAAGUCGUACGUGACCCCAUUGACUGUAACACACCAGCUUCCUCUGUCCUCCACUAUCUCCCAAGUUUGCUCAAAUUCAUGUCCAUGUUGCUAUCUAACCAUCUCAUCCUCUGUUUCACCCUUCUCUCACCUUCAAUCUUUUUCAGCAUCAGGGUCUUUUCCUUUGAGUUAGCUUUUCCCAUCAUGUGGCCAAAGUAUUGGAACUUCAGCUUCAGCAUCAGCCCUUCCAAUGAAUAUUCAGGAUUGAUUUCCUCUAGGAUUGACUGAUUUGAUCUUGCAGUCCAAGGGACUCUGAAGAGUCUUCUCCAACACCAUAAUUAGAAAGCAUCAUUUCUUCGGCACUGAGCCUUCUUGAUGGUCCAAUUCUCACAUCCAUCCGUGACUACUGGAAAAACCAUAGCUUUGACCAUACAGACCUUUGUCAGCAAAGUGAUGUCUCUGCUUUUUAAUACACUGUCUGUUUGUCAUGGCUUUCCUUCCAAAGAGCAAAUUCUUUUAAUGUCAUGGCUGCAGUCACUGUCCACAGUGAUUUUGGAGCUCAAGAAAAAAUCAGUCACUGCUUCCACUUUUUCCCCUUCUGUUAGCCAUAAAGUAAUGUGACCAGUAGCCAUGAUCUUAAGUUUUUUGAAUGUUGAAUUUCAAGCCAACUUUUUCUCUCUCUUCUUUCACCUCAUCAAGAAGGUCUUUAGUUCUUCUUGACUUUCCGUCAUUAGAGUGGUUUCAUCUGCAUAUCUGAAGUUAUUGAUCGUUCUCCUGGCAAUCUUAAUUCCAGCCUGUGAUUCGUCUAGCCCAACAUUUUGCAUCAUGGGACUCUGCAUAUAAGUUAAAUAAGCAGGAUUACAAUAUACAGCCUUGUCUUACUCCUUUCCCAAUUUUGAACCAGUCCAUUGUUCCAUGUAAGUUUCUAACUUACUUCUUGACCUGCAUAUAGGUUUCUCAGGAGACAGGUAAGGUGGUCUGGUACUCCCAUCUCUAAGAAUUUUCCACUGUUUAUUGUGAUCCACACAGUCAAAGUCUUUAGCAUAGUCAACAAAACAUGUUUUUCUGGAAUUCCCUUGCUGUCUCCAUGAUCCACAGAUGUUGUCCAUUGUAUCUCUGGUUCCUUUGCUUUUUCUAAACCCAGCUUAUAUAUCUGGAAGUUCUUGGUUCAUGUACUGCUGACGCCUCGCUUGAAGGAUUUGAGCAUAGCCUUGCUAAUAUGUGAAAUGAGUGCUAUUGUACAGUAGUUUGAACAUUUCUUUGGCAUUACCCUUCUUUGGGAUUGGAAUGAAGACUGACCUUUUCCAGUCCUGUGAUACUGCUGAGUUUUCUAAUUUUGCUGACAUUGAGUACAGCACUUUAACAGCAACAUCUUUUUAGGAUUUAAAAUAGCUCAGCUGAAAUUCUAUCACCUCCACUAGCUUUGUUCAUAUAAUGCCUCCUAAGGCCCACAUCACUUCACAUUUAAGGAUGUCUGGCUCUAGGUGAGUGACCAUACCAUCAUGGUUAUCCAGGUCAUUAAGAUAUUUUGUGUAUCAUUUUUCUGUAUAUUCUUGCCACCUCUUAAUCUCUUCUGCUUCUCUUAGAUCCUUACCAUUUCUGUCCUUUAUUGUGCCCAUUCUUGCAUGAAGCAUUCCCUUGAUACCUCGUUUUCUUGAAAGAUCUCUAGUCUUUCCCAUUCUAUUGUCUAAUGGUGCUUUUUUUCAAAAAGUAGUAUUUGCAAAGGUAGUUUUAUAAUAUAGAAUAGAAUUCUACCUACUUUUCUGCAGCAAUAAGGAACAGAAUAUAUUUUCCCAUUUUAAUCUGGUUAAGAUAUCUUUUAUUAAAUCAGCAAUUAGCAGUGUCUAAAUACCAGAAUUCCAUUAGGUGGUAACAUCCAGAGAGAAGAUUGGGUACAAACUUAAAAUCCAGAAGAGGGCAGAAAGAUAAUGAAUGUUAAUAAAUGGAAUAUGGAAAAUGUAAUGUCUUGCUUGUACAUAUAAUUAAGAAUAUAAGUCAAGUUUAUUGCAGAUUAAGAUAUGUUUGUUGAAGCAGUCUAAAUAGUCACCUGGAGUAGAUUUUGGUAAAAUGAUUAUACAUUUAAAUCACUUGUUUUUUAAAUUGUAUGGAUAUUUUGUCUUUAUUGACCUUAGUUUGUAGUUUCAGAUAGUUUUCCCUGGCCUGGGAAAGCUUUUCUAUUGUUUUUCUCCAACCUCUUAACCCCAUCCUUCAAAUUAUUUUUACAGUUCUUAAGAAUCUGCAAACUUGCUCUUUCAUAUAUUUUCUGAAAAUGUGAAAAGUGUUAAAAGUUUAUGUUUUCAGUGCCUUAGGAAAUAAAUAGGAAUACAUUUUAAAAACUGUGUGCCCAAGUCAGCAUUUUCUAAAGUGCCAUGAUCAGUUUAUAGGUGUUAGGUGAAAAAGGAUGCAGUUAACCUAAUUUUGUGAAAUGCCAAGUUAAGUCAAACUUUUUUCUGUAAGACUUCAUAGGGCCUUCAGCAUCCUCCUGUUACCCUCUACGUACAUUCUGUUUUCCAAAUGUACCUGGCCUUCUGAUAGGAUGGUUGUUCCUUGGGAAACAUGCGGAAAUGCUGGUUUGCUGCUGCUGCUGCUAAGUUGCUUUAGUCGUGUCCGACUCUGUGCGACCCAUGGACUGCAGCCUACCAGGCUUCUCCAUCCAUGGGAUUCUCCAGGCAAGAACACUGGAGUGGGUUGCCAUUUCCUAUGUUGUUAAAAACUGAAUACAUAUGUCUUAAACAAAAGUGCCCAGUCCUUCACUAGAAUGUGCGCUCUUUCAGGGCAAGGACCCCUAUUUAGUCAUUGUAAUCCAGUAUUACGUAUAACAAAUAUAAUGCUCAGUAUAUAUUAUUAAUAAAGUAAUAUACAUUUAAUAACUUAAAA
Long non-coding RNA from Bos taurus (domestic cattle), 12776 nucleotides. The record is from Ensembl. Lineage: Eukaryota; Metazoa; Chordata; Mammalia; Artiodactyla; Bovidae.